RNAcentral lists this non-coding RNA (26 nucleotides) under Cricetulus griseus (Chinese hamster). Lineage: Eukaryota; Metazoa; Chordata; Mammalia; Rodentia; Cricetidae. The record is from RNAcentral.
CCAGGAAAUCACUAUGUAGACCAGGC